GAUGAACGCUGGCGGCGUGCCUAAUACAUGCCAGUCGAGCGAACAGACGAGGAGCUUGCUCCUCUGACGUUAGCGGCGGACGGGUGAGUAACACGUGGAUAACCUACCUAUAAGACUGGGAUAACUUCGGGAAACCGGAGCUAAUACCGGAUAAUAUAUUGAACCGCAUGGUUCAAUAGUGAAAGACGGUUUUGCUGUCACUUAUAGAUGGAUCCGCGCCGCAUUAGCUAGUUGGUAAGGUAACGGCUUACCAAGGCAACGAUGCGUAGCCGACCUGAGAGGGUGAUCGGCCACACUGGAACUGAGGCACGGUCCAGACUCCUACGGGAGGCAGCAGUAGGGAAUCUUACGCAAUGGGGGAAAGCCGGACGGAGCAACGCCGCGUGAGGGAUGAAGGUCUUCGGAUCGUAAAACUCUGUUAUUAGGGAAGAACAAAUGUGUAAGUAACUAUGCACGUCUUGACGGUACCUAAACAGAAAGCCACGGCUAACUACGUG
This 497-nucleotide ribosomal RNA is filed under the name uncultured bacterium. Its description in RNAcentral is "partial 16S ribosomal RNA". It matches the Rfam family "Bacterial small subunit ribosomal RNA", at positions 28 to 507 of the family's 1533-position model. The record is from RNAcentral.